Long non-coding RNA from Heterocephalus glaber (naked mole-rat), 1676 nucleotides. The record is from Ensembl. NCBI's taxonomy places the organism in Eukaryota, Metazoa, Chordata, Mammalia, Rodentia, Bathyergidae.
AUGGGAGUCAGAGCAGGGAAAGAGGAAGAGGCCCAAGAGAGGGUUUAGAGGGGAAAUGAAAAGAAGAGUUCCUUGUUGCUCAGUUGAGUAGAGCUGUCUAUAGAGCAUCCAGGUUAUAACAGACAAGAGGUUGUUGGAAAUACUAGUCAGAAGCUCAGGAGAGCCUCUGGGCCAUUGAGACGGUCUCAAGGUUCAUGGCAGCACUGUUUCCAAGCUCUGUUUCCCAGCAUCCAUGAACUAAGCAACUUUACUCUGCUAUGACUUCCCACCGUAAUGUUUCUGCCUUGGAACCAGCAGACCAUGGACCGAGUACUCUGAAACCAUGAGCUAAAUAAACCUCUUCUUUACAUUGCAGCAGCAUCACCUGGAGAGAAGCUUCUUGGAAAUACAGUAUGGCAAGCUCUGCCCCAGACAUGCAGAUUCAGACCCUGCCUUCUAACAAUGGCCACAGGUGAAUCACAUGCACAUUUCCCUUACAGAAGCUCAGUUUGGGGGUUGACUACACAGAGGCAUGUAAGAUGAAGUAUAUGUCACUCUCAACAUGUGCUGCUCAGGGUUCUUAGAUCUCUGAUUAAAAAACUCUUAGAUAUUAUUAUGUGUAUAAAUGUCAUCCAGGCAGACUCUACCUGGUCAGUACUAUUACAAUUCUGAUACCCAGAUCAGCAGAAACAGAUCAGCAGCACCCUUUGGAGAUUGGCAUGGUAAUGAAAACCUUUCUGGGUCAGAGGACGCUGCAUUCUAGAAGAGCACCUAUUAACUUCCCUGUUCAUGUGAGCAGCCUGGAAUGAGAAAAGGAAGAAAAGGGCACAAAAUACAGAAUACCAAAACAUGGAUCCUGGUAAGCUCAAAGAACGCCGAUGGAUGAUAAGGCUCUGAAAGAUGGACAGAGGUAAUGUAUGAAGCAAUGGUAUGUGAGGUUAUUGGGCAAGUCAGAGUUGCUUCUGCCACAUCCAACAAGUGAACACCACAAGUGACCAGCCCACAUCAGUUCCUUUGAGUUCAUGGUAGAAAUUCUGAUGAGCUUGGAUAUUCUCAAGUCUUACUUUGCUUGGAGGAUGAAGUGACACACAGAACAUUGGAAUGCUGCCUCAUUCACAUACGGCUUACCUUGCAUGCAUUCUAACAGCAAUGUGCAAGAAGCAGAGACUGGCAAAUUCACAAAUAUAUAGGGAUUUGAGAUUUCCCAUGCAAGUUAUUCCAGAAAUGCCAAGUAUUUUGUUUAUGACAAAACAAGAACUAAAAUGUUGACUGCCAUUUUCACCACCAGAGAGAAAACAGAGUGACAGGCUUUCAUGUUUUUGAUAAAAUAGGCAAAAGGGGAAUAGUCAUUAAUCUUGCUGAAGCUCUGUAAUAUAAAAUUAUUUAGGUGGCUGUGAAAGGAAAUUAAAUAUGCUAUAGAGAAAAAAAACAUAGCUUUUAGGGAGAUCUGCUGCUUUUUAAAAGACGAGUCUGUGAUUCUACAAUAAUGACAUAAAAGCCGAAAUGCUAUUUCCUAGUCUAUUACAUUUUAGCUGUCACUGAAACUAAAGUAAUGGAAAAGUUAUAUUUCUGUGUGUAAAGUAACUACAAAUUAUCCAUUCAUCACAAAACAUUUUAUCCUUUAUCUAUUUAGAUAUAAUUGUAGUCUUGCUCUUUUAAAUUUUAGAGAACAGGAUGUUGGUUAAUAAAAAUUCCAG